Thermoplasmatales archaeon SM1-50 is the source of this 298-nucleotide non-coding RNA. The record is from Rfam. Lineage: Archaea; Methanobacteriati; Thermoplasmatota; Thermoplasmata; Thermoplasmatales.
GGGCGUAGGUGGACGGUUGACGGUGACCCUAUGGUUGCUGAGGAAAGUCCUCUCUCACUCUGAAUCAGGAUCCUGUGCAAGCAGGUAAGGCGAGAGUCUUAGCAGAGGAACAGAAACGACACAGCCCUUGGAUUAUGCGAUGAUUCAUUUGAUGAUGAGAUCUCCGAGGGAUUUGGUGAAACGGCCAAUCUGCUCCUGGAGCAAGCCCAAACAUCGGGAUCAGUUAUUCAGACUGCUCGUAGGUAGGGCGCAUUAGACAAAUACCGUUAGAACAGAAAGAGGCUUACGGCCUACACCC